GCUGCCGUAGCUCAGUUGGUAGAGCACCCCCUUGGUAAGGGGGAGGUUCGUGGGUUCGAGCCCCAUCGGCAGCACCA
This 77-nucleotide transfer RNA is filed under the name Rhizobium sp. MHM7A. Its description in RNAcentral is "tRNA-Thr". It matches the Rfam family "tRNA". From Rfam's summary of the family: Transfer RNA (tRNA) molecules are approximately 80 nucleotides in length. Their secondary structure includes four short double-helical elements and three loops (D, anti-codon, and T loops). The record is from RNAcentral. Lineage: Bacteria; Pseudomonadati; Pseudomonadota; Alphaproteobacteria; Hyphomicrobiales; Rhizobiaceae.